AGUCAGAAGCAGAGUAUGAGGGCUGACAGUACCGAGAUAAGGAUACUAGCACGUCGAAGCGGAUUUAUGCGGGCCCUGACUGUACCUAGUUAAGGACUACUAGCCAGUCAGGAGCAGCGUAUGAGGGGUCCUGACAGUACGUAGGUAAGGACUACUAGACAGUCAGGAGCAGAGUAUGAGGGGUCCCUGACAGUAACUAGGUAAAGGAUAUAGCCAGUCAGAAGCAGAGUAUGAGGGUCCUGAC
This is a long non-coding RNA of Etheostoma spectabile (orangethroat darter), 244 nucleotides long. RefSeq lists it as uncharacterized. Lineage: Eukaryota; Metazoa; Chordata; Actinopteri; Perciformes; Percidae. The record is from RefSeq and is a predicted model, not a curated record. The transcript has 4 exons.